ACGGGAGGCAGCAGUGGGGAAUAUUGCACAAUGGGGGAAACCCUGAUGCAGCGACGCCGCGUGAGUGAAGAAGUAUUUCGGUAUGUAAAGCUCUAUCAGCAGGGAAGAUAAUGACGGUACCUGACUAAGAAGCCCCGGCUAACUACGUGCCAGCAGCCGCGGUAAUACGUAGGGGGCAAGCGUUAUCCGGAUUUACUGGGUGUAAAGGGAGCGCAGGUGGUUCGGCAAGUCAGAAGUGAAAAUCCGGGGCUCAACCCCGGAACUGCUUUUGAAACUGUCGGACUUGAGUGCUGGAGAGGUAAGUGGAAUUCCUAGUGUAGCGGUGAAAUGCGUAGAUAUUAGGAGGAACACCAGUGGCGAAGGCGGCUUACUGGACAGCAACUGACACUGAGGCUCGAAAGCGUGGGGAGCAAACAGGAUUAGAUACCCUGGUA
Molecule: ribosomal RNA, 434 nt
Filed under: uncultured Acetivibrio sp.
Lineage: Bacteria; Bacillati; Bacillota; Clostridia; Acetivibrionales; Acetivibrionaceae
Description: partial 16S ribosomal RNA
Rfam family: Bacterial small subunit ribosomal RNA
Source: RNAcentral